RNAcentral lists this ribosomal RNA (253 nucleotides) under uncultured bacterium. RNAcentral describes it as "partial 16S ribosomal RNA". It matches the Rfam family "Bacterial small subunit ribosomal RNA", at positions 524 to 776 of the family's 1533-position model. The record is from RNAcentral.
UACGGGGGGGGCAAGCGUUGUUCGGAAUUACUGGGCGUAAAGGGCUCGUAGGCGGCCAACUAAGUCAGACGUGAAAUCCCUCGGCUUAACCGGGGAACUGCAUCUGAUACUGGAUGGCUUGAAUUCGGGAGAGGGAUGCGGAAUUCCAGGUGUAGCGGUGAAAUGCGUAGAUAUCUGGAGGAACACCGGUGGCGAAGGCGGCAUCCUGGACCGACAUUGACGCUGAUGAGCGAAAGCCAGGGGAGCAAACGGG